Molecule: microRNA precursor, 107 nt
Filed under: Olea europaea subsp. europaea
Lineage: Eukaryota; Viridiplantae; Streptophyta; Magnoliopsida; Lamiales; Oleaceae
Source: RNAcentral
AUCAGUGGAAAGGGGUUUAUGAUUUCAUGACAACUUCGGGUUUGAUCAUUUUCGGCAAACCCGAACUUAUCAUGAAAUCGAAAACCACUUUUCAUUGGCUUGAUUCC